RNAcentral lists this ribosomal RNA (264 nucleotides) under uncultured bacterium. RNAcentral describes it as "partial 16S ribosomal RNA". It matches the Rfam family "Bacterial small subunit ribosomal RNA", at positions 793 to 1055 of the family's 1533-position model. The record is from RNAcentral.
GUCCACGCCCUAAACGAUGGCAACUAGGUGUUGGGGAAGCGAUUUCCUGGUACCGCAGCUAACGCGUGAAGUUGCCCGCCUGGGGAGUACGGUCGCAAGAUUAAAACUCAAAGGAAUUGACGGGGACCCGCACAAGCGGUGGAUGAUGUGGAUUAAUUCGAUGCAACGCGAAUAACCUUACCUACCCUUGACAUGUCCGGAACCCUGCUGAGAGGUGGGGGUGCCCGAAAGGGAAUCGGAACACAGGUGCUGCAUGGCUGUCGU